GGAUCAAAUUGUCGGUCGUGCCGUUGGUAUGCACUGUUAUCAUUGAUUUCUCACCUUCUAAAGAACCGUAAUGCCAUUAAUUUGGUGUUACGGGGAAUUAGGACUGUUACCUUGAAAAUUAGAGUGUUUAAAGCAGGCUCACGCUUGAAUACAUUAGCAUGGAAUAAUGAAAUAGGACAUCCGAUUCUAUUUUGUUGGUUUCUAGGAUCGAUGUAAUGAUUAAUAGGGAUAGUUGGG
This 237-nucleotide ribosomal RNA is filed under the name uncultured Funneliformis. RNAcentral describes it as "partial 18S ribosomal RNA". It matches the Rfam family "Eukaryotic small subunit ribosomal RNA", at positions 667 to 886 of the family's 1831-position model. Lineage: Eukaryota; Fungi; Glomeromycota; Glomeromycetes; Glomerales; Glomeraceae. The record is from RNAcentral.